RNAcentral lists this ribosomal RNA (497 nucleotides) under uncultured bacterium. RNAcentral's name for it is "partial 16S ribosomal RNA". It matches the Rfam family "Bacterial small subunit ribosomal RNA", at positions 28 to 507 of the family's 1533-position model. The record is from RNAcentral.
GAUGAACGCUGGCGGCGUGCCUAAUACAUGCAAGUCGAGCGAACAGAUGAGGAGCUUGCUCCUCUGACGUUAGCGGCGGACGGGUGAGUAACACGUGGAUAACCUACCUAUAAGACUGGGAUAACUUCGGGAAACCGGAGCUAAUACCGGAUAAUAUAUUGAACCGCAUGGUUCAAUAGUGAAAGACGGUUUUGCUGUCACUUAUAGAUGGAUCCGCGCCGCAUUAGCUAGUUGGUAAGGUAACGGCUUACCAAGGCAACGAUGCGUAGCCGACCUGAGAGGGUGAUCGGCCACACUGGAACUGUGACACCGUCCAGACUCCUACGGGAGGCAGCAGUAGGGAAUCUUCCGCAAUGCGCGAAAGCCUGACGGAGCAACGCCGCGUGAGUGAUGAAGGUCUUCGGAUCGUAAAUCUCUGUUAUUAGGGAAGAACAAAUGUGUAAGUAACUAUGCACGUCUUGACGGUCCCUAAUCAGAAAGCCACGGCUAACUACGUG